This 253-nucleotide ribosomal RNA is filed under the name uncultured bacterium. RNAcentral describes it as "partial 16S ribosomal RNA". It matches the Rfam family "Bacterial small subunit ribosomal RNA", at positions 524 to 776 of the family's 1533-position model. The record is from RNAcentral.
UACAGAGGGGGCAAGCGUUGUUCGGAAUUACUGGGCGUAAAGGGCGCGUAGGCGGCCUGUUAAGUCGAACGUGAAAUCCCCGGGCUCAACCCGGGAACUGCGUCCGAAACUGGCAGGCUUGAAUCCGGGAGAGGGAUGUGGAAUUCCAGGUGUAGCGGUGAAAUGCGUAGAUAUCAGGAAGAACACCCGUGGCUAAGGCGGCUCUCUAGUACGGUACUGACGCUGAGACGCGAAAGCGUGGGGAGCAAACAGG